GGCCGGUUGGCCCAAUGGUAAGGCGUCUGACUACGAUCUUGAUCGAGUGGUAAGUUAUCAGGAGAUUCUGGGUUCGAGCCCCAGGCUGGUCA
Molecule: non-coding RNA, 92 nt
Organism: Ustilago sp. UG-2017b
Lineage: Eukaryota; Fungi; Basidiomycota; Ustilaginomycetes; Ustilaginales; Ustilaginaceae
Source: the annotation of a GenBank genome assembly